AACUUUCAACAACGGAUCUCUUGGUUCCAGCAUCGAUGAAGAACGCAGCGAAAUGCGAUAAGUAAUGUGAAUUGCANAAUUCAGUGAAUCAUCGAAUCUUUGAACGCACAUU
Molecule: ribosomal RNA, 112 nt
Filed under: Parmelia ernstiae
Lineage: Eukaryota; Fungi; Ascomycota; Lecanoromycetes; Lecanorales; Parmeliaceae
Description: 5.8S ribosomal RNA
Rfam family: 5.8S ribosomal RNA
About the family: 5.8S ribosomal RNA (5.8S rRNA) is a component of the large subunit of the eukaryotic ribosome. It is transcribed by RNA polymerase I as part of the 45S precursor that also contains 18S and 28S rRNA. Functionally, it is thought that 5.8S rRNA may be involved in ribosome translocation.
Source: RNAcentral